CAGGUUUGUUUGGAUGAGGCUGCCCACUUGAUCAGGACCACCUGGAAGUUGGCUAUUUGAUGACAAGAUCUGCUGUGCCCUGUUCUUUAGCAGUGUGGGUGCUGGUGAACAGAAAGUUACACAAGAAUUCAGCUGACCAGCAUGCAAUGGCGUGAAACUUCUGGGAAUAUUCUGAGACAGAGCUUCUUUUCAAGUGAAGAUGUUAAAAGCAACUGAAAUGAAUCAGUAAUAAACCUCUACCACUUGCAGCAGAGCACAGCAGCCCAUCUGUGUAACAGGAUCGAGAACCAAGGAUCUCUUAGCAAGCUGAAGGCAAGUUAGGAGGAUGGGGAGAAGAAAAAAGUAGGACAAAGCUUCCACUCAUAUCCCAGUGCAGGUACAUGAAACUGACAAUUGUUACAUUUUCUAGCAGGCCAAAGACACGACUGUUGACAGUAUUUUAGACUAACCCGUUCUUUAUUUGCUACCAUUGUAAACAUCUCUAUUACACAGACAUCACAGUACACAUUAUUGCUUUUAUAUUGUGGUAAACAGGAAUUACGAUUAGUACGCGGCUGUCUAAGCACAUUGUUGUAAGAAGGAAUUGCCCACAAGUCAUCUUGGGCUGGGUUGUUCUUAAUUCCCUAGAGAAAGACAGUGCCUAGACUGGCACAAGAAACAUCAGUCCAAAGAUGGGUCACCAUGGUACUACAGCAACACAAACAAGAAUGACAGAAGGAAACCACAGGCUACAGCUUCACCACACAUCACUAGCAGUAUUGGCAAGGAUGCUGACUGCUCAGCUCCCACCUAACUAAACACAAACUUUUUCAUCGUAAUUCCUAAAAAAAAAGGCUAAGUAACUUCUUUUGUGAAAUUUUAGUUAAACCAGGACGGAAAAAUCUGGAAAACCAAUGGAGCUCUGUGUGUGUGUGUUUUAAUUUUUGUUGCAUUUUUGUUUUGUUUUGUUUUGUUUUUCAAAGACUGAAACUAUUUACCUGGGGUGUUUAAAUUGGCCCCUUUUACUAUUGCACUUAGGACAAAAUGCCCUAUUCUUCACAUGGCUGUAUCAGAUGACUGGAGCACAACCAGUUUAAAAAGAUUGUUUCUUUCUUCCUAUGUAGCACUGUCUUCAGAUGGCUUUCCAAUCAAGUUAGUUACUUCUGAAACAAUAUGUUUACUUGGUGAAAGACUAGAUUUUACAUUUGCUUGUAGUAAACUUCUGCUUAUCUCCAGAUUAAUUUGUUCACAGAGUGGCACCAUGUUUCAAGCAUACACUAAAUAACAAAAGUGAAGGUAGUUUGUUAAACAUUUGCUACAGGGACAACAACAAAUUUAGAAAACCACCUUGUCUCCAGUUUUAUUUUUUUUUUAAUACUAUUGCAUAAAAGUUUUCACAUAGUGAAUGUUUUAAAGAGGCAGCAGGUUAGAAAACUAACAGCACUUGCAAGUUCUAGUAAGAUAAUAUGUAUUUAAAACGUGAUGGUUAAUAAAUAAUAAUUCACUGAGUUUUUAAGACUCUUAGAAUAACCUGUGAGCGACAAAUUCUGAUGUUCAAGAUUAUAUCAACUUGCAGAAAAGUGGCCUACCUCCAUUUCCAGUCUUCCAUAACCUUAGGAUUGUCACCUUACAACAGAGUUAGCAUAAAAUACCACUGACUAGUAAAGCCUUGUUCUUGCCUUCUCUAAACACAAUUUUACCUAUUUCAAUACAUUUUCUAGCUACCACCAUAAUACAGUUAACUUACCAGGGGUGCAAACAGGGACAGCAGUAUUAGUCUACAUAUAGUGAGUGACUCCUAGACAGAAUUACUGAUUGAUCACACAAAACCACAUGCAAAUUCUAACUGUGUCCUGGAAAGGUGUACUGGAGCCUAACAUAAACAUUCACCUUAAUUACUACAUGCACACUAAUGUAUUCCCUUAUGUCUCACUCAUCUGAUGAUGGCUGGGUUUACUGCCACAGUUCACUUCCCAGAUCACCCAUUGAUUUAAGAAGAAAAAAAACUAGCCAAGAUGCAUCUUAUUAUAAGCUUGAAGUACAUUUGACACUAAAACAUCUCAGGUGUGUGAUAGGAACCCUGAGACUCUAUGGUUGGGCUUUAGAAGCCUCAGCAAUAGUUAAAUGUUAGUCUCCCAGUGAACAAGGAGCCCAGUGCUGGAAAGACAAGGCUGUAGAUUACUUUUGCAACUG
This is a long non-coding RNA of Passer domesticus (house sparrow), 2172 nucleotides long. RefSeq lists it as uncharacterized. The transcript has 2 exons. Lineage: Eukaryota; Metazoa; Chordata; Aves; Passeriformes; Passeridae. The record is from RefSeq and is a predicted model, not a curated record.